Molecule: ribosomal RNA, 508 nt
Filed under: uncultured bacterium
Lineage: Bacteria
Description: partial 16S ribosomal RNA
Rfam family: Bacterial small subunit ribosomal RNA
Source: RNAcentral
GACGAACGCUGGCGGCGUGCCUAAUACAUGCAAGUCGAACGCUUCUUUCCUCCCGAGUGCUUGCACUCAAGUGGAAAGAGGAGGGGCGGACGGGUGAGUAACACGUGGGUAACCUACCCAUCAGAGGGGGAUAACACGUUGAAACAGGUUCUAAGACCGCAUAACAGUUUAUUCCGCAUAGCAUAAGAGUGAAAGGCGCUUUCGGUUGUCGCUGACUGAUGUACCCGCGGUGCAUUAGCUAGUUGUUGAGGUAACGGAUCACCAAGGCAACGAUGCAUGGCCGACUUGAGAGGGUGAUCGGCCACCCUGGGAUGGAGACACGGCCAAGACUCCUACGGGAGGAGGCAGUAGGGAACCUUCGGAAAAGGACGAAAGUCUGACCGAGCACCGCGGCGUGAGGGAAGAAGGUUUCCGGAUCGUAAAACUCUGUUGUUAGAGAAGACCAAGGAGGUUAGUAACUGAACGCACUGUGACGGUAGCUAACCAGAAAGCCACGGCUAACUACGUG